Molecule: ribosomal RNA, 253 nt
Filed under: uncultured bacterium
Lineage: Bacteria
Description: partial 16S ribosomal RNA
Rfam family: Bacterial small subunit ribosomal RNA
Source: RNAcentral
UACGAAGGGGGCUAGCGUUGUUCGGAAUUACUGGGCGUAAAGCGUGCGCAGGCGGCUUCUCAAGUCAGUGGUGAAAGCCCAGAGCUCAACUCUGGAACUGCCUUUGAGACUGAGUGGCUUGAGUACGAGAGAGGUGAGUGGAAUUCCCAGUGUAGAGGUGAAAUUCGUAGAUAUUGGGAAGAACACCGGUGGCGAAGGCGGCUCACUGGCUCGUAACUGACGCUCAUGCACGACAGCGUGGGGAUCAAACAGG